AAGUCGUAACAAGGUUUCCGUAGGUGAACCUGCGGAAGGAUCAUUAUUGAAUGAAUCGGGGGGACUGUUGCUGGCCCGUCAAAGGGCAUGUGCACGUCUUCCCAAUUUGCCUUCUCCACCUGUGCACUUUUUGUAGACCCGGGAGAACACCUCUCGAGGCAACUCGGAUGGGGGGGUCGCCGUCAAGGCUUCCCCUGCGUUCAACCUGGUCUAUGCUUUUCACACACACUUUGAAUGUCUCAGAAGGUCUUUCAAUGGCUUGCCGUAAAAAAGCAACGCUAUAAAACUUAUACAACUUUCAACAACGGAUCUCUUGGCUCUCGCAUCGAUGAAGAAUGCAGCGAAAUGCGAUAAGUAAUGUGAAUUGCAGAAUUCAGUGAAUCAUCGAAUCUUUGAACGCACCUUGCGCUCCUUGGUAUUCCGAGGAGCAUGCCUGUUUGAGUGUCAUUAAAUUCUCAACCUCCCCAGCUUUUANCGGCCGGGAGAGGANUGGAUGUGGGGGUUGCGGGCCUCGAUUUCUAGAGAUCGGCUCUCCUUAAACGCAUUAGCGGAACGUCUCGCGGGANCGUCACUUGGUGUGAUAAUUAUCUACGNCUCAUGACUGCGAUCGNCUCUGGUUCAGCUUCUAACCGUCCGUUUGCUCGGACACAAACCCNUUGACAAUUUGACCUCAAAUCAGGUAGGACUACCCGCUGAACUUAAGCAUAUCAAUAAGCGGAGGAAAAGAAACUAACNAGGAUUCCCCUAGUAACUGCGAGUGAAGCGGGAAAAGCUCAAAUUUAAANUCUGGCGNUCUCCGGCCGUCCGAGUUGUAAUUUAGAGAAGUGUCAUCCGCGCUGGACCGUGUACAAGUCUCCUGGAAUGGAGCGUCAUAGAGGGUGAGAAUCCCGUCUUCGACACGGACCCCCAGGGCUUUGUGAUGCGCUCUCGAAGAGUCGAGUUGUUUGGGAAUGCAGCUCAAAAUGGGUGGUAAAUUCCAUCUAAAGCUAAAUAUUGGCGAGAGACCGAUAGCGAACAAGUACCGUGAGGGAAAGAUGAAAAGAACUUUGGAAAGAGAGUUAAACAGUACGUGAAAUUGUUGAAAGGGAAACGCUUGAAGUCAGUCGCGUUGGCCGGGGAUCAACCUUGCAUUCGUGCUUGGCGUACUUCCCGGUCGGACGGGUCAGCAUCAACUUUGACCGCUGGAUAAAGGUCAGGGGAAUGUGGCAUCUUCGGAUGUGUUAUAACCUCCGGCCGCAUACAGCGGUUGGGAUUGAGGAACUCAGCACGCCGCAAGGCCGGGUUUUUAACCACGUACGUGCUUAGGAUGCUGGCAUAAUGGCUUUAAUCGACC
This 1333-nucleotide ribosomal RNA is filed under the name uncultured fungus. Its description in RNAcentral is "eukaryotic LSU rRNA". The stretch from base 666 to 1333 matches the Rfam family "Eukaryotic large subunit ribosomal RNA", at positions 1 to 649 of the family's 3401-position model. Lineage: Eukaryota; Fungi. The record is from RNAcentral.